This 497-nucleotide ribosomal RNA is filed under the name uncultured bacterium. Its description in RNAcentral is "partial 16S ribosomal RNA". It matches the Rfam family "Bacterial small subunit ribosomal RNA", at positions 28 to 507 of the family's 1533-position model. The record is from RNAcentral.
GAUGAACGCUGGCGGCGUGCCUAAUACAUGCAAGUCGAGCGAACGGACGAGAAGCUUGCUUCUCUGAUGUUAGCGGCGGACGGGUGAGUAACACGUGGAUAACCUACCUAUAAGACUGGGAUAACUUCGGGAAACCGUAGCUAAUACCGGAUAAUAUUUUGAACCGCAUGGUUCAAAAGUGAAAGACGGUCUUGCUGUCACUUAUAGCUGGAUCCGCGCUGCAUUAGCUAGUUGGUAAGGUAACGGCUUACCAAGGCAACGAUGCAUAGCCGACCUGAGAGGGUGAUCGGCCACACUGGAACUGAGACACGGUCCAGACGCCUACGGGAGGCAGCAGUAGGGAAUCUUCCGCAAUGGGCGAAAGCCUGACGGAGCAACGCCGCGUGAGUGAUGAAGGUCUUCGGAUCGUAAAACUCUGUUAUUAGGGAAGAACAUAUGUGUAAGUAACUGUGCACAUCUUGACGGUACCUAAUCAGAAAGCCACGGCUAACUACGUG